GAAGCAAUCCCUCCGGAUCCACCUGUUGCAAAUCGCGGAUGACGCGAAACCCUUUAAGGGCGUCACGUGACCCCGUUCCCCGUUCCUCGGGGGGGGGGGGGGGGACCAGGGCCGUGGCUCUGCUCUACCGAUCGCGAGCCCGGCCGUCUUCCGAAACCGUUUCGGCUCGUGUUUGUUGCACCUCGAUUCGGAAGCCUCGAUUAGUCUAUUCGGAGUUAUCGCGUUCGCCGAACCCUCCGCAGCGGUUUAAUUCGUUAAAGUCGACCGUUUAUUGGUGCAUUCCGACUCAAGUCGCACGUCGAAAAGCUUAUUGUUGAUCGUCCGUUCCGCGCGGUGACGCACAGCAUUCCUUAUCACUCGUUUCACACGCCAUCUCCAGCGCAAGUAAACAGAAAGUGCGUUUUCUAUAAAACCGCAGGUUUGAUUUUGAUGCCGGUAUUUGUGAAAAAUUCACCGCGUGAAAGUCAUCGGAGCCUAGAAUUUUUAAACGGGAAGUUGAUCGACGCCGUAAUUUUGAACCGAAAAGUAAAUCCUCUCUUAUACGUAGCCGGUUUUUUCCUCGUUUACCGAAUUUGUGAAAAAUCGUGACAAGUUUUCAAAUUAUUCUGCAAAAAAUCGCAAUUCUUUCGGUGCCAACAACCAAAAAGAUUGCUCCCUAGACAGAAAGAUAGUGAUCUAGCCAACAUGCGUUACAGUUCACUGUAAAACUGAAGAUUACAGUUCACUGUAAAACUUAAGAUUACAGUUCAAAACUCUUUGUGUACAAUUGGUUUAACUAGUAAACUACUAAAGAUUGCUGUCCCUUGAAAUCAGUUGCAGUCGUUCGUUAAGUUGUUUUCUUCUUCUUUUUUCGGUGUUAAAUCGUGAGAAGUUACCGGUAAAUUUUUAAGUAUCUUCUUGAAGAUUUCCACUCCUGCUAGUAUCUGUUUCGUCUAUCACAAGCGAGGAAGAAGUGUUUUUCUAAGUUGCCAGAUUUUCAGUGGUUCGUGACCUGCCACAACAAGCCGAAUUCAGCCGUCGAAAGUUCGCCUGGCCCCAGCACUUCACGUAAGCAAUCUUCUAAAGCGGGUAUCGGACCAGUAACUGAACGAGGCCUUUGAAUAAUUAAGCUCCUUCCACUGCAUUGAUUCGGGUUUAUUCAGUCGAACAGAAUCGGGAUGACAUGACGUCAAGUGCACGUUCCUCUACCACGGAGUUUUCAAGGAAUCGCCGCUCGUUAAGCACGUCAUCCACCUCUUACGCCGAUACUGAGCUCACGUGUGCGUCAUCGUAAGCGACGCAAAAGCCGCCGCAUAGUUAUAAAUCCGCCGAAAUCUCUCGUCUUGGCAUUCUCCGUUGUGUCGAGUUGUGUCUAGUCCGCGGUAAUUUUGCGCAUGAAUGAAGUUCAGGCUGCCGACUGUUAUUCAGAAUUCUAGAUCAGUGAGGCAUACGCAACAUUUUCCUUCGUCUCAUCGGCUGACCGCAUCAAAGCCAGCGAAUUUGCACUCGAAUCCUGGUUUUUUUUUGAAGUUUUGCAGCGUCAUCACAGAGCGGUGUUGAACGCAUGAACUUUGGAGGCGACAGAUCUUCGCGGAAUUUGAAUUUCCCGCAAUUCACGGACCGCGAGUGGUCGCAUUCCAGAAACGAACUUCUUGGCGUCAGAUCAAAUCGAAACCAGUAAACUUUGACAAAUUUUAUUUUCCACCGCUCUUAAACCAGAAGUGAUUGUAGUUCCAGAAAGGAACCUCUGAACAUCAAGCCGAAUCGAAGGGACGGUCACCAAAUUUUGAAUUUCAACUCUUCGCGACUCUUCAACCGGAAGUGAUUAUCAUUUCGGAAACGAAGCUCUCAGCCGCGAAUCAAACCAAAGGCAGUAAACUUUCGCAAAUUUCAUAAUCCCCGCGACUCACAAAUCGGAAGUGCGUCAUCCCGGAAAUCGAUCCUAGAUUCUGAGCUCCUCGUCCACAAGUGACCGCGGUUCCGGAAUGGAGUACCUCUUCCCACCAGGAUCCUCCGGGGCCAGCUGUAUUCGGCGCCUGUCGCAAGAGCUGUCGUUGUCGGCGGGGGCGGGUCUAGCCUGUCUGACGGUGCCCUCCGGGGCGACCCCCACCUCCUCGAUGUCCUCCGGAUAUCCGGCCUCCGAGUGCGACACCGAGAGCUUCUUCAUCGGCGACUCCUCUGACGAGGGCGGGUGGGGCGACACCAGGAUCCUUCCGCACAGGUAUUGUUCUUUUCAAGUCCAUUAGUUCUAUAUGUAGAUUGGGCUAAAGGGGCAGAUACACCUGCGAGCUAGACGCGCGUCUUGAGCGGCGAGUUUGCCUUCGGCCGUGUUCGGCAAUCUUCGUAGCCAAUCAGGUCGCAACUCGUCACUCGUAACUCGCUCGAAGUAUGAUCGGAUCCUACUUUUCGGGACAGAAAGCGCGUGUAGCGCGCAGGUGUAUCUGGCUCCUAAGGAGGAAGCAGUAAUGUCUACCAAGCGUGU
This 2461-nucleotide long non-coding RNA is filed under the name Bemisia tabaci. RNAcentral describes it as "lncRNA ENSSSA3NGG008033". The record is from RNAcentral. Lineage: Eukaryota; Metazoa; Arthropoda; Insecta; Hemiptera; Aleyrodidae.